GUCCACGCGCUGCGGCCUUGGAGUAACUGCUGUUCUUAAAGGCUGCCUCCGUCCUGCCGCGCGGCCUUUAGAGGGUUGGAGCUGGCAGAACCGUAACUCCCUCUCUGAGGGUGAAUACGGGCCUUGAUUGCCAGAAGGGCCCUCGGCCGGGGACGCGGGAUGAUGCGGGGCCGGGAGAUGCUUUCCUGGAGGCUGAGAAACCUGGAGGGAGACCCCCAAAACUUCUCAGUUCGCCGACCCCUUGGUCCCAGAGGGAGAGGAGCAUCCCCAAAGAACAUUCAAGUCUGAGCCUCAAGGAGCCUCUGCGACUCGGUGUCUAGAUCCAGGAAAUGGAGAAUGAGCCGUGACUUUGGAUGCUUCACUCUUGUCCAUCAGGCUCGGAAUUGGGUAGCCCGGCUCUGCAGGGACAGUCACGGAGCUGAAAAACUGCUGCCUAAUGAAGCUGUUUUCUUCUACCACCGGCUCACCCUCAAAUUAUUUCCUGAGCGAACUCAAGAACCUUCCUGGGCUAAGCCCCAAUUUUGGGGCUCGCCUGCCCCUGCAUCACAGCUUCCUCUUCUGUUCACAGCUGCAACCGCCUACUCAACCUUCUGCGGUUCCUCUCCCUGCCCCUCCACAGUGGCUGCUGAUGGGAGCUCUGGCUCCCUGCGUUUUCACUAUCUCCCAGUCAAAUGCAGAGUCCCUGUGCAAUUUAAAUGCUUCUCAGCUAAGAACAGAGAAGGGGAUAGCAUAAGGAUAUUCAAAAGAUUCAAGAAAUCUCAAAAGUGAUCACAAAACAUUUGUCUCUGACCAACCAGAAACAUCGACGGGUGAGAAGGGCAUUUCCUCUAGCUGAAUUCUUCAUGGGUCUUCAGGCUCUGUUUUCACUUUGGAUUUUCUGGAGUCUCCUGAAGGUUACCUGAAAUCUUGUUGGUCCUGAAUAUUGUAUGUGGAGUCCCAAGCUGCAAGAAGUCAGUGGGGCUGGACGGGAGCCAAAAUCAGAGACUCAAGCAGCACAGCUGGGCCCCAUUGAAAGUGAGACCAGCUGUCCCAGUUGGAAGCUGGGGUAUAGAGCUGGGGAUGGGUGGAGGCAGUGACAGGCUCCAUGUAUUGGUCAUUCAGACUCCCCAGUAGCCUCAGGACCCAACUCCCACAGGUCAGAGAAGACCUGGUGGAGGGCCUUAUGCAAACCUCAGUGGGUGAUGCAGGAGGGAGUUUUCUGAGCAGGAAUGCCAACAAAAAAGGCCUUCAAAGGAAGGCCCUGCUUGGGACAAUCCUGCCUCUUUAUGGUCUGGUUCACAGGUUCCCCUGGGUGGGGUAAUGGAAUCCAAGCUAAGGUGUCUGACUUCAAAAGUUUUCAGAAAUGCCACUUUUGUAAGCAUCAGGGAUUGGGUUUUCUGAGAUGCAAAACAUCUUUGUUAAGGGGUUAAAGCAUCCUUAAGCUGUUUAGGUUUCUGGGGAUACAUAGACUUAGGAAGUUAGAGCAGGUGAAGUUGAGGGGGAUGGGAACUAAGAAUUAGCUCAAAAUAGUCACCAAUGCAGAAACCCAGGCACUUGGGACCCUGACAGUGGGGAAGGCAGAGGAGUAACUGUGGGGACUUGGGCACCCUAUUAGCAGAAUGGGGUAACAGAGAAGGCAAGAAUUGCUUCCCAGGAGACUGGGCUGGGAACAGGAAGGGGACUAAAAUGCUGUCCCUGGCUGAAGAGUGUGGAGGUAUAGAGGAGCUGGUAGCAGGGCUCUGAAUCCAUACACGAGAGCAAGGACCAGUGGUUUCAGGGUGGGAUAGGGCUUUGAUGUCUUCAUGGACUUAGGGUAAUAUUCACCACCAUGGUGAAUUCCACAAAGGAGAAUUCACACAAAGGUCUCGGACCAGCCAGUUUCCAUGUGAAAAAGCCAUCUGGGAGCAAGGGAACAAACCCAGGAAUACAACUGUAUUGGGGGAAAUUCAGCCAGACAUAGGGCAAAAUUCACCCCCAAUAUUUCAUGUAGGUUCUUUUCUAUUUUCCGUAAGUGUCGGCCGGUCUGAGAAAUAAAGGGACAGAGCUCAAAAGAGAGAAAUUUUAAAGCUGGGUGUCUGGGGGAGACAUCACAUGUCGGCAGGUUCCGUGAUGCCCCCCGAGCCGUAAAACCAGCAAGUUUUUAUUCGUGAUUUUCAAAAGGGGAGGGGGAGUGUAUGAAUAGGGUGUGGGUCACAGAGAUCACAUGCUUCACAAGAUAAUAAGAUAUCACAAGGCAAAUGGAGGCAGGGCGAGAUCACAGGACCACAGGACCGGGGCAAAAUUAAAAUUGCUAAUGAAGUUUCGGGCAUGCAUUUUCAUUGAUAACAUCUUAUCAGGAGACAGGGUCUGAGAGCAGACAACCGGUCUGACCAAAAUUUAUUAGGCGGGAAUUUCCUCGUCCUAAUAAGCCUGGGAGCGCUAUGGGAGACUGGGGCUUAUUUCAUCCCUACAGCUUUGACCAUAAAAGACGGCCGCCCCCCGAAGCGGCCAUUUCGGAGGCCUACCCUCAGGGACACAUUCUCUUUCUCAGGGAUGUUCCUUGCUGAGAAAAAAAAUUUAGCGAUAUUUCUCCCAUUUGUUUUUGAAAGAAGAAAAAUAUGGCUCUGUUCUGCCUGGCUCACCGGCAGUCAGAGUUUAAGGUUAUCUCUCUUGCUCCCUGAACAUUGCUGUUAUCCUGUUCUUUUUUCAAGGUGCCCAGAUUUCAUAUUGUUCAAACACACAUGCUCUACAAACAAUUUGUGCAGUUAACGCAAUCAUCACAGGGUCCUGAGGCGACAUACAUCCUCCUCAUUUUACAAAGAUGAUGGGAUUAAGAGAUUAAAGACAGGCAUAGGAAAUCACAAGGGUAUUGAUUGGGGAAGUGAUAAGUGUCCAUGAAAUCUUCACAAUUUAUGUUCAGAGAUUGCAGUAAAGACAGGCGUAAGAAAUUAUAAAAGUAUUAAUUUGGGGAACUAAUAAAUGUCCAUGAAAUCUUCACAAUCCACAAUUAUUCUGCCAUGGCUUCAGCCGGUCCCUCCAUUUGGGGUUCCUGACUUCCCGCAACACAAGUGGAGAGAGAGGUGGCCUGACAUUAUGGCUAAGUUGAUAUGGAAGCAUUCUGGUUUGUUCUAGAAAAAAUGAAAGAGGUGGUGCAGGUAAUCAUCAGCUCCUGGUUCUGUAGCAAGGCUUUUGCUGCAAUCCCAGGAGGUAGCAACCUAGGCUUUGGUUCUGAAAGAAGAGGGUCUACCUUCCUGAAUCAUUUUUAGGAGUCUGCUGAUGGCCAGGCUUGGUGAGUUGGACUCUGUAAGGAAUUUUUAUUUAAGUGAGGUCUGGGUAGGAAAAGAGAAGGGAAAAACUUGACCCUGCCUGCACCAAAGGAUUCUGGGAAGGAGAAUAAAGAGAAAAACCCUUCUUCAUGUUUCUGCUUCAGAGCAGGAGAACCAUCACAAGCUAAGUAAAGUCAAUGAAGGGCGAGUGGCCCUAUGGCCACCUGGGCACACACCUGCCCCUUGGCCACCUUGCAUAGGCAGGCUGAGGAGGUCACUAAGGCUUGGUUUUCCUGACCUGCCCUGAUUCCACAUGCUGUAAGGAGGACCCAGAAGGCUGUGUGGCUACAGAGGUGCCCAGCAUGGUGGGGGUCACUUCAGUGUGGACACUAGACUGGACCGCGUGGAACUACAACCAGCUCAGAGCGCCAGCCAGAGUGCUGUUCUGGCCAGAAGGAGGAGCCAAGACCCACACCCAGGAGGACAAUGAGCCCCUCUCUGCAGACAGGAGCCAGCCACACCUGGGGUCUGGGGAGACUCUUCCUGAUUCCAAAUGGGACUGAACUUUAAACCAGACUGGGCAUUUGAGCAAUUUUUUAAAAGCUGUCAACCAAAUAAAGGAAUGCCAUUUUCUUUACCCAGUCA
This 3869-nucleotide long non-coding RNA is filed under the name Homo sapiens (human). RNAcentral's name for it is "HSALNT0333894". The record is from RNAcentral. Lineage: Eukaryota; Metazoa; Chordata; Mammalia; Primates; Hominidae.